CGGUCACGUCCAUUCUGUGUAUAAUCAUUUGUAAAAGUCUUAUAAAAUUUUAUUUAUUUUUAAUAGUAUUUGAGAACUGGUCAAUGAUAAAGCUAUGAAAAAUCAAGAGAGAACAUUUUACCGCCAAAUUUCCAAUGGCUUAUAUCUCGAAAACAAGCACAUUGACCCCUAUAUAUUUUUUUUUUUGCUUUUUUGAUUCCUCAAUUUAUUC
This 211-nucleotide long non-coding RNA is filed under the name Mytilus galloprovincialis (Mediterranean mussel). The record is from RNAcentral. Lineage: Eukaryota; Metazoa; Mollusca; Bivalvia; Mytilida; Mytilidae.